RNAcentral lists this ribosomal RNA (240 nucleotides) under uncultured bacterium. Its description in RNAcentral is "partial 16S ribosomal RNA". It matches the Rfam family "Bacterial small subunit ribosomal RNA", at positions 118 to 352 of the family's 1533-position model. The record is from RNAcentral.
UGAGGAACAUGACCUUCGGCGGGGGAUAGCCGACCCAACGGCCGGGUAAUACCGCGUACGACCUUUCGGGGACAUCCCCGGAUGGUGAAAGCAGCAAUGCGCCGAUGGAGUGCCUCGCGGCCUAUCAGCUAGUUGGUGAGGUAACGGCUCACCAAGGCAACGGACGGGUAGCUGGUCUGAGAGGAUGGCCAGCCACAUUGGGACUGAGACACGGCCCAGACCUCCGUACGGGAGGNAGCG